UGGCUGGUUGAAGUGCCAGUCACGCGGUUAAUUUGGCAAAAUUGAAAUGUAGUCGAGUUCUUCCGUUAGGAAAACGAGAACUGCGGCAUCGCCGUGGAAUCGAAAAUUAUUAUGACUCUGGUAUCACUUCAUCAAUCUCCAAUAUGUCAUGACGCAACGCCGAGGUCAAAAAGGACUCACUCUCAAGCUUCUGAACAUCGUAGUUGGCCAGUUGCAUCGACUGGACUCAGAUGAGGAGACAAUCUCCAUGAUCAAUUUCCGAUACUGAUGUAACAGUCCGGAUGACUUGAUGUAACCAUUAUUACAGACGAAGAGAUCAUGGGCCCUAAAAGCUUGGACGGAAAAAUUAUGUCGGAUCAUGAAUUGUUAGUCUUAAAAACUGCGCGGCACUUCAAAUUCCUCCUCGGAGAAGUUUAUUUGAUGACAGACCGAAUAAACUGGCCUUUGGUACCACUAGUGUUACUGCAGCAUAUUUUGCAGAUAACAGGUGGGAUUCUACUAUUAACUGAUGCCACCAAUACGCCUUCGUCUCUGGUGCCGGCAGGUGCUCUUGCUCGUAAAAUGCAUUGCCUAGUAGCACCGAUAGGCUACACGACUCUUGCGAUUUCUUGGCGGAAGACUAACAUGAUGAUUGAAAUUGCCGAGGAAGUCAAUGAAGUUUUGUUAACCGACCAGAUCCCCAUUUCAAGUUCUUUGCGUGCGGAAAUCAUCACAGACUUGGAGAAUCGUCACCGGGUAAUCAUCAUCUGUGCAAUGUCAGGUGCACAGCUCAUGAUUUUGUUCUACUUCGUGCCUCCUAUCCUGAAAUUCCUGACCAGCGCUCCGUCAUCGCGACAGCUUGACCUCCCGCUGAAUUUACCGGAUCCGCUCUCUCUCAUCGGGUUCGCACCUACUGACGUAUCGCGUGCAAUAGUCUAUUUCAUUGGCUUCCUCACUAAUAUGUCUCAGUUCUACAUCCUUUACCUCGGGAAAUCGCUCACCUUUGUCAUUAUGGAUUCCCUGAAGACAGCAUUCUUCAUCUGUGGACAAAGUUUACAGACCUUUGGUCAUGAAGAAUUCUUGACUACGGAACAAUUUUUGAGCGCUGUGAAGCUUCAUCAACGUUUGUACAGAUUGUCCUCAAAAGUGAAAAACACUGUUGAACCCUACUUCAUGGUGAUCUUGACAGCGGCAAUCUGCUAUAAUACAACUUGUGCAUUAGCAAUUACUCAUCAGGAAUUUGAUGUUCAUAACGCUAAAUUGAUGUUCGGUAUGGUGGUUUCUCUUGCAAUCGUCAGCUGUCUCUUUAUUCUACCGGGUUCGACCACCCACCAGGCUGAAGAUCUGGCUAAUCGCAUAUACUUCAAUGAAAAUUGGUUGGUACGAAGACUUAAAUGUGCUUGCCACUUCCCAUUCAUGAUAAUGCGAUCAAACAAACUAGUAAAAUUUCGACUUUACAACUGUUGGGUGGUGUCGGAAGAAAAUUUCCUAAAGUAUCUACAACUUCUCUAUAGUAUUUAUAUUGUUUUGCAGUCUACAAUUCCGAGUUCUACAAGAGAAACUGGCCCGGAUGCUAUCGUUAAAGUAUCCAGUUGAGUGAGCAACCGCCAUCAAGUAACUGGAACAAUGAAAUUAAUAUUCAAUCUGAGACUACUUUGAAAUUAUUUUCGUGACUCAUGGACAAUUUACAAUUUGCCACUUUAUAAUCAUAAUACUCUAAGUUGAAUUUUGUGUUUAAAUGGCUUUUAUCAGUUUUAAAAAUAAUCGAUUUGGAUGUAUGAGCUUUUUUUUAUAAAAUUAUCUUUAAUUUCGUCAUACAUAACACAUUUUAACCAGAUAAAACCUGUAAAAUUAGCUAAAAAGACUAGUCAUGUAUUCGUAUAUUC
This 1865-nucleotide long non-coding RNA is filed under the name Bemisia tabaci. RNAcentral's name for it is "lncRNA ENSASIAIIG012536". The record is from RNAcentral. Lineage: Eukaryota; Metazoa; Arthropoda; Insecta; Hemiptera; Aleyrodidae.